Molecule: long non-coding RNA, 880 nt
Organism: Dalotia coriaria
Lineage: Eukaryota; Metazoa; Arthropoda; Insecta; Coleoptera; Staphylinidae
Exons: 3
Source: RefSeq, a predicted model, not a curated record
ACAGAACCUCUUUUGACAUCGAUUUGACUGAGAUUUUUCAUUGAGUUGGCGCCAUCCGACCUGAACUUCCAAAAGGAGCUGAGAAAAGGAUCUAGAGAGCCACGACUGGACUGCUGGACGACUAAGGCAUGAUUAACGACUGAGCUUGCAGUGCUCACUCCUUUUAUACCUACGAGCGACCAUCAGAAAGGGGUGGGAGUAGGUGCAGCAGCAUUUAAUUAGUGUCAAAAAAUUCUUGUCAAUAAUCACUUCAUACCCCAAAACUCAAACCUCAUCAUGGAUAACAUCGUAGACCUCCUCAACAAUUGGCUCAACAACCAAGAACUCCAAGCAACAUUCCUCAUGGGUUUAACCUGUAUAGGAGCAUGGGUUGUCCUCACGUGGUUCCUUUGCAUAUUGGUCUCUAUCAUCUGGCCGAUUGUCAUCAUCAUCGGCGUUGUUAUGAUCUUCCCCCAAUUUGGCUGCGCCGUCUUCAAUCAAAUCCUACCCAAAUACAUGGAAUAUAUGAAUAUGAUGAUCCGACGGAUUCUGGCGUGUAUUAAUUCUCCUGGCGAUGUAGCAUGUUGUUGACCAGAAAUGUACCGACAAAGAACGACAUUAUUGCCAAUAUAAUUGAGUUUUGAGGAUAGAAAGAGUGGAGACGGUAGUGAGACGAUAAUAAUAGUGCAAUCGAGUAAUACCCUCUUAUGUAGUGCGAUAAAAGCGAUUGAUGGGAACGCCGUGUAAUGUUUGUGACGACCAAAUUGAAAGCCAUCGAACGGACACGAACGGCCUCGGCUAAUAGUCAUCGCGCCGCCACCGCCGCCGCCACUGUCACAUAUAUAAGUACUUUGGAAUAUAGCAUUCAAGGUAAUUAAAGACAAAUGCGAAAGGAGGAAAA